This 156-nucleotide unclassified non-coding RNA is filed under the name rhizosphere metagenome. RNAcentral's name for it is "partial ribosomal RNA internal transcribed spacer region". The record is from RNAcentral.
GAGUUCAUGCCCUUACGGGUAGAUCUCCCACCCUUGUGUAUAUAUCAUAUGUUGCUUUGGCGGGUGCAAGCCCGCCAGAGGACCCAAACUCUGAGUUUAGUGUCGUCUGAGUACUAUAAAAUAGUUAAAACUUUCAACAACGGAUCUCUUGGUUCU